This 260-nucleotide ribosomal RNA is filed under the name uncultured prokaryote. Its description in RNAcentral is "partial 16S ribosomal RNA". It matches the Rfam family "Bacterial small subunit ribosomal RNA", at positions 524 to 782 of the family's 1533-position model. The record is from RNAcentral.
UACGGAGGGUGCAAGCGUUAUCCGGAAUCACUGGGCGUAAAGGGCGCGUAGGCGGUCUGUUAAGUCUGGCGUUAAAGCCUGGGGGCUCAACCCCAGAUCAGCGUUGGAUACUGGCAGGCUAGACGGCUGGAGAGGCGAGUGGAAUUACCAGUGUAGCGGUGGAAUGCGUAGAUACUGGUAGGAACACCCAUUGCGAAGGCAGCUCGCUGGACAGCACGUGACGCUGAGGCGCGAAAGUGUGGGGAGCAAACCGGAUUAGA